RNAcentral lists this ribosomal RNA (663 nucleotides) under Passiflora coriacea (bat leaved passion flower). RNAcentral describes it as "eukaryotic LSU rRNA". The stretch from base 276 to 431 matches the Rfam family "5.8S ribosomal RNA". Lineage: Eukaryota; Viridiplantae; Streptophyta; Magnoliopsida; Malpighiales; Passifloraceae. The record is from RNAcentral.
UUGUCGAAACCUGCAAAGCAGAAACGACCCGCGAAUAUGUUGUGAAAAUAAAGGGGUUGCAUCCGGCCUUGCCAUGAUGCUUCCCCAUUGGGGGCGUGCAUAAGGGAGCGAUUGGGCUUGUUCCAUCCUUUGUUUUGCACUGUCCUCCAACCUAACAAAACCCGGGCGCAGAAUGCGCCAAGGAACCAAAAACAAAAAGAGAAGGGAAUGAGCGCCAUUGCAUUCCGGGGACGGAAAUCGUGAGGUUGGCUACUUUCCUUAUCUAAAAAUCAAACGACUCUCGGCAACGGAUAUCUUGGCUCUCGCAUCGAUGAAGAACGUAGCGAAAUGCGAUACUUGGUGUGAAUUGCAGAAUCCCGUGAACCAUCGAGUUUUUGAACGCAAGUUGCGCCCGAAGCCUUUGGGCCGAGGGCACGUCUGCCUGGGUGUCAUGUAUUGUCGCCCCAUCCAACUCCUUGCAUGGGACAUUGGACUAGGGGCGGAAAAUGGUCUCCCGUGCGCUCCCGCUCGCGGUUGGCCAAAAUUCUAGUUGUUGGUGAUAGUGCCACGGCAAGCGGUGGUUGAUAAAACCUUCGGAAAAUGUCGUGACCAAGCCAACAAAAGACUAUUUGACCCUAUCCACUCCCAACAGCGACCCCAGGUCAGGCGGGAUUACCCGCUGAG